CUCAACAAACCAACAGACCUUCAUUACAUUGUAAGACUUUGCGACAGAAAGAAUUGGAAAUCCACUCAUAACCAAACAGAGGGUUACAGUCAAAGCUACAGGUGAUUGCAUCAACCAUGAAGUUUUUUGUGCUUACUUUAUUCUGUGUGGUUGCAUCUGUCAGCGUUUCUGCAUUCCCAAGAGGGCCACCUCCGCCGGGACCAGGGAGACAUGGUGAUAGGAGGCCUCCCCCCCACCAUGGGGAGCACCCUAAAUUCCCCGGAAGAGACCCACACUGCAAGGGAAAAACUACAACUGCACCAACUUCAACCACCACCGUCACUACUAGAACAACCCCUGUUACAACAAGUACUACUGUACAGUCUACAACCACCCUCACUAGUACUACCGCUACAACAUUACCUUCUACUGCCACUACACUUAAGUGAUUACUAGAGCUAGUAGAGUGGUCAACACUUCCCUGUGCUGAGGAAUAACACUGUCUCAUACCUGCUAAACUUUGUAGAUUUAAACCUCUAGUCCAUUAGUUCAACCACAAUUCCACACUUCACUAUGUGCGAAGCAAGAUGUGCAGCAUGAUGCUUUAGGAAUUUCCUUUUCUUAACUCCAGGCUUUUUCACAGAAAUUAAUAUUUGACCUUUACUAAUAGAAAAUAAAAUAACAUUAAUUUAUAUCUACUGUAAUCCUUCUGCAGAUAAUCAUCUAGACUUUACUUUUGCAUAUACUGUAUAUUCUAUAUGUCAAUUUACGUUUUGUUGAACACCACUCAGAACUACCACAAUAUGAUGUUUACUGUUUUGCGUUGUACAAAAUAUCAUUGGAAGGAAACUCAGAGAUUACUGAAAGAAGUCUCAGCAUUGUCAAUUAUGGUUUUUAUCAAUUUAAGUCUUUCCUUAAUUAGAAGACUUAUAAUUGUUCUUAAAUCUGAUAGUAGUAUGAUAGUGGCUGUAUUAGUAAUAGUCUGACUCCUGUAUAUUGUUUGAUAUCAAAUCUGUAAUUUAGUUUAAUA
Molecule: long non-coding RNA, 1009 nt
Organism: Lepisosteus oculatus (spotted gar)
Lineage: Eukaryota; Metazoa; Chordata; Actinopteri; Semionotiformes; Lepisosteidae
Source: RefSeq, a predicted model, not a curated record